CGUCACGCGUCCUUCUUCUCCAGGCUGCCCUCCGUCACGCAUCCUUCUUCUCCAGGCUGCCCUCCAUCACGCGUCCUUCUUCUCCAGGCUGCCCUCCAUCACGCGCCCUUUUCCAGGCUGCCCUCCGUCACGCUCCUUCUCCAGGCUGCCCUCCAUCACGCGUCCUUCUUCUCCAGGCUGCCCUCCAUCACGCAUCCUUCUUCUCCAGGCUGCCCUCCAUCACGCGUCGUUCUUCUCCAGGCUGCCCUCCAUCUUGCACCCUUCUUCUCCAGGCUGCCCUCCAUCACGCGUCCUUCUUCUCCGGGCUGCCCUCCGUCACGCGUCCUUCUCCAGGCUGCCCUCCAUCACGCGUCCCUCUUCUCCAGGCUGCCCUCCAUCACGCGUCCUUCUUCUCCAGGCUGCCCUCCAUCACGCGUCCUUCUUCUCCAGGCUGCCCUCCAUCACGCGUCCUUCUUCUCCGGGCUGCCCUCCAUCACGCGUCCUUCUUCUCCAGGCUGCCCUCCGUCGCGCGUCC
RNAcentral lists this long non-coding RNA (514 nucleotides) under Pan troglodytes (chimpanzee). RNAcentral describes it as "long non-coding RNA NONPTRT003767". The record is from RNAcentral. Lineage: Eukaryota; Metazoa; Chordata; Mammalia; Primates; Hominidae.